RNAcentral lists this long non-coding RNA (484 nucleotides) under Bos taurus (domestic cattle). RNAcentral's name for it is "long non-coding RNA NONBTAT019553". Lineage: Eukaryota; Metazoa; Chordata; Mammalia; Artiodactyla; Bovidae. The record is from RNAcentral.
CCCACUUGCCAAAGUAGUAUAGCAGCCAUUAACUGAACUAGAGAAGAAAAAGGGCUUCUCACAUUGGGUGGUGGUGAGUGAGAGCUGGGAGUUAUUCAACAAAGACUUGUCCACCUAAAACCUGACUUGCUUUUUUACUGAAUAUCUAUAUUUGGUACUAUGAGAAUGUUUGUUGGUCCUAAAAAGAUAACUUUAACCUGGAACCAAGGUUGAGCUAUUUCCUUAGUCUUAGUUAUAGACUUGGUAGUUUGAAAACAAGACAGAAUUUUUAAUACUUUAAGUAGUACAAAGAUUUUAAAAUUAAACUUUUUUGUCCACUCUCAAUAUAAAUUGGGCCUUUUUCCUAUAAGAAUUCUUGAGUAAUUUCAGGGAUCUGUAUUACAUAUAAGUAAAUGUUUCAUUCCCCUUAAAGGAAUUUUCUGGCUUAGAGGGACUGAAUACAAAGUAGAUUUAAAUGUAAUUUUCAAAAAUGUUAUAACUUCAC